Molecule: ribosomal RNA, 440 nt
Filed under: uncultured bacterium
Lineage: Bacteria
Description: partial 16S ribosomal RNA
Rfam family: Bacterial small subunit ribosomal RNA
Source: RNAcentral
CUACGGGGGGCUGCAGUGAGGAAUAUUGCACAAUGGGGGGAACCCUGAUGCAGCAACGCCGCGUGGAGGAUGACGCAUUUCGGUGUGUAAACUCCUUUUAUAUGUCAAGAAAAUGACGGUAGCAUAUGAAUAAGCACCGGCUAACUCCGUGCCAGCAGCCGCGGUAAUAGCGGAGGGUGCAAGCGUUACUCGGAAUCACUGGGCGUAAAGGACGCGUAGGCGGGUUGGAAAGUCAGGUGUGAAAUCCUACAGCUUAACUGUAGAACUGCACUUGAAACUUCUAAUCUAGAGUAUGGGAGGGGGAGAUGGAAUUAGUGGUGUAGGGGUAAAAUCCGUAGAUAUCACUAGGAAUACCUAAAGCGAAGGCGAUCUCCUGGAACAUUACUGACGCUAGGGCGUGAAAGCGUGGGGAGCAAACAGGAUUAGAUACCCCAGUAGUC